Lucilia cuprina (Australian sheep blowfly) is the source of this 2139-nucleotide long non-coding RNA. RefSeq lists it as uncharacterized. The record is from RefSeq and is a predicted model, not a curated record. Lineage: Eukaryota; Metazoa; Arthropoda; Insecta; Diptera; Calliphoridae. The transcript is spliced from 2 exons.
GAAGCAGACAACAUCAACAAUGUUCAAAGUAUUAAUCCAAACAACACAAAUAAUCCUCAUCCAAGCAAUUACAAGAAAAACACUAAUGAUACCUCAUUUACAUAUACCCAGCAAAUUUUUAUCAGUCAACAGAUAUUCAAUGAUGCACCCACAUAUGAAAUUACAAGUAAUUGACAAUUGAAAAUAAUGUAUUCAGCAAAAUCAUUUAAAAUUUCAAUACAAAUAUCAAAAACCACAUAAAACAAACCAUAAACACAAUUAUGACUAUAUCAGUAAUUCAUCAUAUUGGAUAAUCACAAAAACAGUUACUCUAGAAUAGCAAUAACAAUAUGAAUGACAACACAAUUCCAAAACCAAUCUAAACAUUCCAACCUACCAAAAACAGUAUUAUUUCAUCAACGAAUUUCCAACUGCAAAAGCAAAUCAACAUAGUUAAUUACUCAACAUUACCAAAGUACCAUCAAAUGCAAUAAUAACACCACAACUCAGUCAAGUGAUACUAAUAUCAAAAAGGUAAUAACCAACAAAGGGAAUAUGCAUGUUAAUAUCAAUAAAACAUACAAUAUUUCAAUAAUGAUAAACCAUUCACAUAAUAGAAAAUAUACAACAGAAUACAAUCUCUAAUUUCAAUUAUAAACAAACUCCAGCUCAUUUAUCAGAAGAAAGCAAAAUGUAUAUAAAGUUAUAGUAUUACAAGACUCUCAGUAAACAAUUCUCAAAAAAUCCAGUCAAAAGACAUCAACUUUACAAUAUUUUAAAAAAUAUACCUAUUAUACCGAAUAAAUAUAUAAUACAGCAACCCUCCACUUAAAAAAUGAUUAUCAACCAUUAUUUAUAAAUUACAAAUUUUUAUUUACCGAAUUACAUAAAUACAGAAAUUAAUACAAUUAAACAAGUCAAUAUAAAUGACAAAUUCCACAAUAUACAGUCCGCAAAUCUCCCAAAUCCAAUAUAAAAAACAGCUAACUACACCAUAUUGACACAAUAAAGAAAUAAAUUACCUUGUGCAGAAAACAUAUAUGUAUAUACCCAAAAUCAUCGAUUCUAUAAGAACAUUCCACAGUUCUACUCAAACCUACAAGGAUAAACUGUUUUCAGAAAUUUCACGAAAAAGCUUUUUCUUAUAAGUUUCAACAGAAACAUCAAAGUUUUCGAUAAUUUAUUGUAUACACGUGCCACUCUAACACAAAAUGAUCGCUCUAAUAUUGAAGUCAACUUUGGUAUUUUCAACUGUCUAUUUCUGUUAGAUUUGCAAAACUCAAACAAACUAACCAAAUAUUCCGGAGCACGCAGUUUACAUAACUUGAAAAAGUGCAAUAAAUUUCUAUACUUAAUAUAAUCCAUAAAAGAUAAUCCAAGAAACUUUAUAACAUAAACUGACACAUGCUGCCUCAUUCCAAUAGAAUAUAGGUAUCUCACAACUCUAUUAAAUGUCAAUCCUAACCUUUUUAUCACAUAACCAAAGGUACCUGAAUAUACCUCCAAGGCAUAUAGAAAUAUUGGCAUUACAAGUCCAUGAACUACUCUUUUCUUAAUGUGAAAAGGCAACAUCAAAUCCAGACUGUACAAUUUUCGUAAGAAAGAUCAUUAUCCUGAACCCAACUAAAUAAUAAAUCGGCAGUAUGAUCAAUAACACUUUGUAAAACAUCAGGAAAUUCUACAUCACCUCUAAACAAAAGUUGAACAUCAUCAGCAAAUGAAAAUGGAAGACAUAUAUUACUAGAAAUUCUACUGAAUAGAUCAUUCAUAAACAUUAUGAAAAGCAAAGGUCCCAGUACUGAUCCCUGAGGAACUCCACUGUAAACAGGAAGCAGUCCAGAAACACGACCACCACUACAUACAUAUUGUCGCCUAUCUGAUAAAUAAGUCUACAUGCUGAGCCAGAGAAACCGUAAUACCUAUGCAAUUUUUCUACUAAAAUUGAAUGAUUGACCCUAUCAAAUGCCUUGGAUAAAUCUAAUGAUAAUAAGACACAAUUACCCCUAUUAGAUACACAUCUUCUAAUAUUAUCAGUAAGACCUAGAAGCAAAGAAGUGGUGUUCCUAUUACAUCUGAAGCCAGUCUGACAAUCAUGAAGCAACCGACCAUCAUCAAUAUGCUUUACCAGUUGAAUCUUAAUCAGAUGCUCAACCAUCUUUG